AAACUCAAAUGAAUUGACGGGGAGCACCACGAACGGGUGGAGCUUGCGGUUUUAAUUGGAUUCAACGCCGGAAAUCUUACCGGGACCGACAGCAAUAUGAAGGCCAGGCUGAAGACUUUGCCGGAUUAGCUGAGAGGUGGUGCAUGGCCGUCGUCAGUUCGUACUGUGAAGCAUCCUGUUAAGUCAGGCAACGAGCGAGACCCACGCCCACAGUUGCCAGCGUACUCUCUGGAGUGACGGGUACACUGUGGGACCGCCGCUGCUAAAGCGGAGGAAGGAAUGGGCAACGGUAGGUCAGUAUGCCCCGAAUAUCCCGGGCUACACGCGAGCUACAAUGGUUGGUACAAUGGGUAUCUACCCCGAAAGGGGACGGGAAUCUCCUAAAACCAAUCUUAGUUCGGAUUGAGGGCUGCAACUCGCCCUCAUGAAGCUGGAAUCCGUAGUAAUCGCGUUUCAACAGAACGCGGUGAAUACGUCCCUGCUCCUU
Molecule: ribosomal RNA, 487 nt
Filed under: uncultured Methanosaeta sp.
Lineage: Archaea; Methanobacteriati; Methanobacteriota; Methanomicrobia; Methanotrichales; Methanotrichaceae
Description: bacterial SSU rRNA
Rfam family: Archaeal small subunit ribosomal RNA
Source: RNAcentral